Molecule: long non-coding RNA, 225 nt
Filed under: Elaeis guineensis (African oil palm)
Lineage: Eukaryota; Viridiplantae; Streptophyta; Magnoliopsida; Arecales; Arecaceae
Description: long non-coding RNA (EGUI_LNC008434)
Source: RNAcentral
UUCUCUCCAGUUGCUCUUCUUUCUUUCUUACAACCUAUCUUAGUUUUAGGAUAAGGCUUUGGGAUUUAAGACAAAGUCUUAUUUAGUCCUAACAAGAGUUGUAAGGGUUCUAAAGAAGAAGAAUCAGAAGUCUAAAAGAGAUUUUGAGAGGGUGGAGUCAGAUUCUUAGAGAAAUCUGAUCAGUAUGAGGCUAGUCGAGUUCUAGGAGCUAGAACUCUUGAAGCA